GCGCCCGUGGCGCAAUUGGAUAGCGCGCCAGUCUACGGAACUGGAAGUUACAGGUUCGAAUCCUGUCGGGCGUA
This 74-nucleotide transfer RNA is filed under the name Planctomycetota bacterium. RNAcentral describes it as "Planctomycetes bacterium (freshwater metagenome) tRNA-Arg". It matches the Rfam family "tRNA". From Rfam's summary of the family: Transfer RNA (tRNA) molecules are approximately 80 nucleotides in length. The record is from RNAcentral. Lineage: Bacteria; Pseudomonadati; Planctomycetota.